Molecule: ribosomal RNA, 926 nt
Filed under: Halichondria panicea
Lineage: Eukaryota; Metazoa; Porifera; Demospongiae; Suberitida; Halichondriidae
Description: SSU rRNA
Rfam family: Eukaryotic small subunit ribosomal RNA
Source: RNAcentral
AACCUGGUUGAUCCUGCCAGUAGUCAUAUGCUUGUCUCAAAGACUAAGCCAUGCAUGUCUAAGUAUAAACGCUUCUAUACUGUGAAACUGCGAAUGGCUCAUUAAAUCAGUUAUAGUUUAUUUGAUGGUUUCUUACUACUUGGAUAACCGUGGUAAUUCUAGAGCUAAUACAUGCACAAAGUCCCGACUCUUCGGAAGGGAUGUAUUUAUUAGAUCCAAAACCAAUGCGAGUCUCUCGGGGCUCGGUUCCUUGGUGAUUCAUGAUAACUGCUCGAACCGUAUGGCCCUUGCGCCGACGGUGCUUCAUUCAAAUUUCUGCCCUAUCAACUUUCGAUGGUACGGUAGUGGCCUACCAUGGUUGCAACGGGUGACGGAGAAUUAGGGUUCGAUUCCGGAGAGGGAGCCUGAGAAACGGCUACCACAUCCAAGGAAGGCAGCAGGCGCGCAAAUUACCCAAUCCCGACUCGGGGAGGUAGUGACAAUAAAUAACAAUGCCGGGCUAUUGUAGUCUGGCAAUUGGAAUGAGUACAAUCUAAAUCCCUUAACGAGGAACAAUUGGAGGGCAAGUCUGGUGCCAGCAGCCGCGGUAAUUCCAGCUCCAAUAGCGUAUAUUAAAGUUGUUGCAGUUAAAAAGCUCGUAGUUGGAUUUCGGGGUGGCCUGCCUGGUCCACCGCAAGGUGAGUACUGGUCAGCCGCCCUUCCUCUCGAAAGCCCCGACUGCUCUUUACUGCAGUGGUCGGGUAGUUCGGGACGUUUACUUUGAAAAAAUUAGAGUGUUCAAGGCAGGCUAUCGCCUGAAUACAUUAGCAUGGAAUAAUGGAAGAGGACCUCGGUCCUAUUUUGUUGGUUUCUAGGGCCGAAGUAAUGAUUAAGAGGGGCAGUUGGGGGGCAUUCGUAUUUAAAUUGUCAGAGGUGAAAUUCUUGGA